AGACUACUCCCUUCAUCACAAAAUUAUUUUCUUAGAUUUGUCAAGAUACGGAUGUACCUAAUACUAAAACGUGACCUGAUAAAUCCAUAUUUAGACAAAUCUAAGACAAAAUUUUCGGGACGGAGGGAGUAUAUU
Triticum aestivum (bread wheat) is the source of this 135-nucleotide non-coding RNA. The record is from Rfam. NCBI's taxonomy places the organism in Eukaryota, Viridiplantae, Streptophyta, Magnoliopsida, Poales, Poaceae.